Nicotiana sylvestris (wood tobacco) is the source of this 119-nucleotide non-coding RNA. NCBI's taxonomy places the organism in Eukaryota, Viridiplantae, Streptophyta, Magnoliopsida, Solanales, Solanaceae. The record is from Rfam.
GGAUGCGAUCAUACCAGCACUAACGCAUCGGAUCCCUUCAAAACUCCGAAGUGAAGCGUGCUUGGGCGAGAGUAGUGCUAGGAUGGGUGACCCCCUGGGAAGUCCUCGUGUUGCAUCUC